UACAGAGGGUGCAAGCGUUAAUCGGAAUUACUGGGCGUAAAGGGCGCGUAGGUGGUUGCGUAAGUGGAAUGUGAAAUCCCCGGGCUUAACCUGGGAACUGCAUUUUAGACUGCGUAGCUGGAGUGCGAUAGAGGGUAGUGGAAUUUCCGGUGUAGCGGUGAAAUGCGUAGAUAUCGGAAGGAACACCAGUGGCGAAGGCGGCUACCUGGAUUGACACUGACACUGAGGCGCGAGAGCGUGGGGAGCAAACAGG
This 253-nucleotide ribosomal RNA is filed under the name uncultured bacterium. RNAcentral describes it as "partial 16S ribosomal RNA". It matches the Rfam family "Bacterial small subunit ribosomal RNA", at positions 524 to 776 of the family's 1533-position model. The record is from RNAcentral.